RNAcentral lists this ribosomal RNA (526 nucleotides) under uncultured bacterium. RNAcentral describes it as "bacterial SSU rRNA". It matches the Rfam family "Bacterial small subunit ribosomal RNA", at positions 9 to 517 of the family's 1533-position model. The record is from RNAcentral.
GAGUUUGAUCCUGGCUCAGGAUGAACGCUGGCGGCGUGCCUAAUACAUGCAAGUCGAGCGAACAGAUAAGGAGCUUGCUCCUUUGACGUUAGCGGCGGACGGGUGAGUAACACGUGGGUAACCUACCUAUAAGACUGGAAUAACUCCGGGAAACCGGGGCUAAUGCCGGAUAAUAUUUAGAACCGCAUGGUUCUAAAGUGAAAGAUGGUUUUGCUAUCACUUAUAGAUGGACCCGCGCCGUAUUAGCUAGUUGGUGGGGUAAUGGCUUACCAAGGCAACGACACGUAGCCGACCUGAGAGGGUGAUCGGCCACACUGGAACUGAGACACGGUCCAGACUCCUACGGGAGGCAGCAGUAGGGAAUCUUCCGCAAUGGGCGAAAGCCUGACGGAGCAACGCCGCGUGAGUGAUGAAGGUCUUCGGAUCGUAAAACUCUGUUAUUAGGGAAGAACAAAUGUGUAAGUAACUGUGCACGUCUUGACGGUACCUAAUCAGAAAGCCACGGCUAACUACGUGCCAGCAGCCG